This 1510-nucleotide ribosomal RNA is filed under the name metagenome. RNAcentral's name for it is "bacterial SSU rRNA". It matches the Rfam family "Bacterial small subunit ribosomal RNA". The record is from RNAcentral.
AGAGUUUGAUCCUGGCUCAGGACGAACGCUGGCGGCGUGCUUAACACAUGCAAGUCAAGGAGAAAAGAAAUCUUCGGAAUUCUUAGUAAACUGGCGAACGGGUGAGUAACACGUAGAUAACCUGCCCUUAAGACGGGGAUAACAUUGCUAACGCGAUGCUAAUACCGGAUGAUGCAAUUUGAUCGCAUGGUCGAAUUGUUAAAGUUGGCUUCGGCUAACGCUUAAGGAUGGAUCUGCGUCCCAUUAGUUAGUUGGUGAGGUAGUGGCUCACCAAGACAGCGAUGGGUAGCCGGCCUGAGAGGGUGAUCGGCCACACUGGGACUGAGAUACGGCCCAGACUCCUACGGGAGGCAGCAGUGAGGAAUAUUGCGCAAUGGCCGAAAGGUUGACGCAGCAACGCCGCGUGAGGGAUGAAGCAUUUAGGUGUGUAAACCUCUGUUAGGAGGGACGAAAAAGUCUGUUUCGAAUAGGUGCAGACCUUGAUGGUACCUCCAGAGAAAGCCCCGGCUAACUCCGUGCCAGCAGCCGCGGUAAUACGGGGGGGGCAAGCGUUGUCCGGAAUUAUUGGGCGUAAAGGGCGCGUAGGCUGGAUGAUCAGUCCAGGGUGAAAACUUGCGGCUUAACCGUAAGCCUGCCUUGGAUACUGUCAUUCUUGAGUUCGGAAGAGGGAAGUGGAAUUCCUGGUGUAGCGGUGAAAUGCGUAGAUAUCAGGAAGAACACCGGUGGCGAAGGCGGCUUCCUGGUCCGAUACUGACGCUGAGGCGCGAAAGCGUGGGGAGCGAACAGGAUUAGAUACCCUGGUAGUCCACGCCGUAAACGAUGGGUACUAGGUGUUGGCUCGUUUGAGGGUCAGCGCCGUAGCUAACGCACUAAGUGCCCCGCCUGGGAAGUACGAUCGCAAGAUUGAAACUCAAAGGAAUUGACGGGGGCCCGCACAAGCGGUGGAGCAUGUGGUUUAAUUCGAUGCAACGCGAAGAACCUUACCUGGGCUUGAACCGCAGUUGACAGCUUCUGAAAGGGAGUUUUCCUUCGGGACAACUGUAGAGGUGCUGCAUGGCUGUCGUCAGCUCGUGUCGUGAGAUGUUGGGUUAAGUCCCGCAACGAGCGCAACCCUUGUCCUUAGUUGCCAUCAGGUAAUGCUGGGAACUCUAAGGAGACUGCCCCGGCUAACGGGGAGGAAGGUGGGGAUGACGUCAAGUCCUCAUGGCCCUUACGUCCAGGGCUACACACGUGCUACAAUGGCCGGUACAAUGGGCAGCGAUACUGCGAAGUUUAGCUAAUCCCCAAAACCGGUCUCAGUUCGGAUUGCAGUCUGCAACUCGACUGCAUGAAGUCGGAAUCGCUAGUAAUCGUGGAUCAGCAUGCCACGGUGAAUACGUUCCCGGGCCUUGUACACACCGCCCGUCACGCCAUGGAAGUUGGUAGCACCCGAAGCCAAUGGCCCAACCUUUUAUUAGGAGGGAGUUGUCGAAGGUGAGACUGAUGACUGGGGCGAAGUCGGAACAAGGUA